CACAUACUCCCAUGCAUGCAUACAUUUCAGAUAAAUUUGAUGAUAUCAAAGGAAUAAUGAUUUGAUAAUCAUCAAAUUUAUCUGAAAUGUAUGCAUGCAUGGGAGUA
This is a non-coding RNA of Pelobates cultripes (western spadefoot toad), 107 nucleotides long. NCBI's taxonomy places the organism in Eukaryota, Metazoa, Chordata, Amphibia, Anura, Pelobatidae. The record is from the annotation of a GenBank genome assembly.